CAAGUCGAACGCGAAAGUUCCCUUCGGGGAGCGAGUAGAGUGGCGCACGGGUGAGUAACACGUAGGUAAUCUACCUUUGGAUUGGGAAUAACAACCGGAAACGGUUGCUAAUACCGAAUAAUGCAGCGGCACCUAAUGGUGACAGUUGUUAAAGCGGGGGAUCGCAAGACCUCGCGUCUGAAGAGGAGCCUGCGGCGGAUUAGCUAGUUGGUAAGGUAAUGGCUUACCAAGGCGAUGAUCCGUAGCCGGCCUGAGAGGGCGGUCGGCCACACUGACACUGACAUACGGGUCAGACUCCUACGGGAGGCAGCAGUCGGGAAUUUUGGGCAAUGGGCGAAAGCCUGACCCAGCAACGCCGCGUGAAGGAUGAAAUCCCUCGGGAUGUAAACUUCGCAAGAACGGGAAGAAUAAGUAGGAGCUAACAUCUCUUACGAUGACGGUACUGUUUGUAAGCUCCGGCUAACUCCGUGCCAGCAGCCGCGGUAAUACGGGGGGAGCAAGCGUUGUUCGGAUUUACUGGGCGUAAAGGGCGCGUAGGCGGCCACUGCAAGUCAGUUGUGAAAUCUCCGGGCUUAACCCGGAAAGGUCAACUGAUACUGCAGGGCUAGAGUGCAGAAGGGGCAACUGGAAUUCUCGGUGUAGCGGUGAAAUGCGUAGAUAUCGAGAGGAACACCUGCGGCGAAGGCGGGUUGCUGGGCUGACACUGACGCUGAUGUGCGAAAGCCAGGGGAGCGAACGGGAUUAGAUACCCCGGUAGUCCUGGCCUUAAACGAUGAAUGCUUGGUGUCUGGGGUUUUAUAGUCCCCGGGUGCCGUCGCUAACGCUUUAAGC
RNAcentral lists this ribosomal RNA (831 nucleotides) under uncultured Pseudomonadota bacterium. RNAcentral describes it as "bacterial SSU rRNA". It matches the Rfam family "Bacterial small subunit ribosomal RNA", at positions 58 to 865 of the family's 1533-position model. The record is from RNAcentral. Lineage: Bacteria; Pseudomonadati; Pseudomonadota.